RNAcentral lists this ribosomal RNA (509 nucleotides) under uncultured Desulfobulbus sp. Its description in RNAcentral is "bacterial SSU rRNA". It matches the Rfam family "Bacterial small subunit ribosomal RNA", at positions 903 to 1382 of the family's 1533-position model. The record is from RNAcentral. Lineage: Bacteria; Pseudomonadati; Thermodesulfobacteriota; Desulfobulbia; Desulfobulbales; Desulfobulbaceae.
CGCCUUGCCAGCCCGCUCAGAAACUCAAAGGAAGUUGACGGGGCCCGCACAAGCGGUGGAGUAUGUGGUUUAAUUCGAUGCAACGCGAAGAACCUUACCUGGUCUUGACAUCCCGGAGACCCUUAGGAAACUAGGGGGUGCUUCCAUCUGGAGAAUCUGGAGACAGGUGCUGCAUGGCUGUCGUCAGCUCGUGUCGUGAGAUGUGGGUUAAGUCCCGCAACGAGCGCAACCCUUGCCUUUAGUUGCCAGCAGUUCGGCUGGGCACUCUAAAGGGACUGCCGGUGUUAAACCGGAGGAAGGUGGGGAUGACGUCAAGUCCUCAUGGCCUUUAUGACCAGGGCUACACACGUACUACAAUGGCCGAUACAAAGGGCAGCGACACUGCGAGGUGAAGCCAAUCCCGUAAAAUCGGUCUCAGUCCGGAUUGGAGUCUGCAACUCGACUCCAUGAAGUUGGAAUCGCUAGUAAUCGUGGAUCAGCAUGCCACGGUGAAUACGUUCCCGGGCCUU